UACGUAGGGGGCAAGCGUUGUCCGGAUUUAUUGGGCGUAAAGAGCGUGUAGGCGGCCAGGUAGGUCGGUUGUGAAAACUCGAGGCUCAACCUCGAGAUGUCGACCGAAACCAUCUGGCUAGAGUCCGGAAGAGGAGAAUGGAAUUCCCGGUGUAGCGGUGAAAUGCGCAGAUAUCGGGAAGAACACCCGUGGCGAAGGCGGUUCUCUGGGCCAUUACUGACGCUGAGGAGCGAAAGCGUGGGGAGCGAACAGG
RNAcentral lists this ribosomal RNA (253 nucleotides) under uncultured bacterium. RNAcentral's name for it is "partial 16S ribosomal RNA". It matches the Rfam family "Bacterial small subunit ribosomal RNA", at positions 524 to 776 of the family's 1533-position model. The record is from RNAcentral.